Molecule: long non-coding RNA, 1111 nt
Filed under: Numida meleagris (helmeted guineafowl)
Lineage: Eukaryota; Metazoa; Chordata; Aves; Galliformes; Numididae
Description: lncRNA (ENSNMEG00000008539.1)
Source: RNAcentral
CACCAGAUUUGUGAUUUAACAAAAUCACAAAUUAAUCAGUGAAUCAGCUGUGGCUUGGAGAGGAGAUAAGAUUACCAUCCUUGCCUCAAAUGAAGCCUGGAGUAUCCCUUGUAAUUCACUAACCUCAAAGUGAUGCUAUUCAGAAUCAUGUUAUAUUAGCCUGUCUGCACAUCUGCUGAGGAUGAAUAAUACUAAAAAUGAAGUAAAACGAGUGAGAGCCUGCUCUUCCAAGGAGUACAGCUGACAUCUGGAUAUGAAGGGGAGUCCAUAUGGUGUAAGUAGAGCCAGUUAUUAAUUGUUUGACUGAUCAAAAUGCAUGCUGUGGAACGUAAUUUUAGCAGCUUUCCCACAGUUUGUUUGUUUUCUUCAAUGUGAAGAAAAAGGAUGUGUUUGAAAUGCUUAUUUGAUAGCCUUUAGUAUGUUAUUCAUGACACUUACCUUCACUUCACUGUUUAUUUAGAGAAUUACACAUUGAAGCGUGUCCCAAGGUGAAGAUCACCAAUCUACUACAUCCUAUGGCUGGAUUUUCCUCCACAGUAUGUAUGAAGCUGUCUCGUCAUGUGCAAAUCUCGUCUUUGAACACUGCAUGUGCUGUCACAAAAUGAGAGAUCAGAAAACCUCAGCAACUGAGCAGUGCUUUUGGAAGACCCGGAUCUGCUUCCCUGAAAUUCAGUGGCAAAAAUCCAGCUCAUCAAUAUCCAGUCUUUGUGGAUGAUACUGGUUCACCAGUUGCAUGCAGGAACAUUCAUCAUAUAAUUAGAUGGGUCAAUAUCAACCAUGCAAUUGAUUGCAAAAUAUGAGUAAAUAACACCAACAAUUUCUUCAUUCUUUCUUAAGUUUAAUGACUUCAUAAAGUUGGAGCCAAUUAAUGUGCGUACCUGUGAGUAUCUUGGCCUGUUUACUGUUUCUAGAAUCUGUGCACUGAUCCUGAUAGAUGCUUUGUGUGGCAUUAAUGAUCAGUUCUGAUUAUUUGCAAAAUACUUCCUGUACAUGCACAUCAAAGCUUUUCAGGUGUGUGAGCCUAUAAGGAUUAGAGAACACUGAGAAUAUCCAGUCCCAAAAAACCCAAUGUACUUACUUUCAUAAUAAAAGGUGUAUAGUUUGUCUUCCA